CCAGGGAGUGAUGGAGCCGCGCGGAAUCCGUCGCAGGAAGUGGAGUAGAGUCGUGGCCGUUACUGCGGCCUGCCAGGGAGUGAUGGAGCCGCGCGGAAUUCGUUGCAGGAAGUGGAGCAGAGUCGUGGCCGUUACUGUGGCCUACCAGGCAGUGAUGGAGCCGCGCGGAAUCCAUUGCAGGAAGUGGAGCAGAGUCGUGGCCGUUACUGCGGCCUGCCAGGGGGUCCAGGCUUGUCGGCCGAAGUUCGGUUGGGGUGUCUG
RNAcentral lists this long non-coding RNA (261 nucleotides) under Elaeis guineensis (African oil palm). RNAcentral's name for it is "long non-coding RNA (EGUI_LNC014637)". The record is from RNAcentral. Lineage: Eukaryota; Viridiplantae; Streptophyta; Magnoliopsida; Arecales; Arecaceae.